GAUGAACGCUGGCGGCGUGCCUAAUACAUGCAAGUCGAGCGAAUGGAUUAAGAGCUUGCUCUUAUGAAGUUAGCGGCGGACGGGUGAGUAACACGUGGGUAACCUGCCCAUAAGACUGGGAUAACUCCGGGAAACCGGGGCUAAUACCGGAUAACAUUUUGAACCGCAUGGUUCGAAAUUGAAAGGCGGCUUCGGCUGUCACUUAUGGAUGGACCCGCGUCGCAUUAGCUAGUUGGUGAGGUAACGGCUCACCAAGGCAACGAUGCGUAGCCGACCUGGGAGGGUGAUCGGCAGCACUGGGACAGGGGCACGGCCCAGACUCCUACGGGAGGCAGCAGUAGGGAAUCUUCCGCGAUGGACGAAAGUCUGACGGAGCAACGCGGCGUGAGUGAUGAAGGCUUUCGGGUCGUAAAACUCUGUUGUUAGGGAAGAACAAGUGCUAGUUGAAUAAGCUGGCACCUUGACGGUACCUAACCAGAAAGCCACGGCUAACUACGUGCCAGCAGCCGCCGUAA
This 515-nucleotide ribosomal RNA is filed under the name uncultured bacterium. Its description in RNAcentral is "partial 16S ribosomal RNA". It matches the Rfam family "Bacterial small subunit ribosomal RNA", at positions 28 to 523 of the family's 1533-position model. The record is from RNAcentral.